RNAcentral lists this non-coding RNA (557 nucleotides) under Beta vulgaris subsp. vulgaris (sugar beet). RNAcentral describes it as "Bacterial small subunit ribosomal RNA". It matches the Rfam family "Bacterial small subunit ribosomal RNA", at positions 976 to 1533 of the family's 1533-position model. The record is from Rfam by way of RNAcentral. Lineage: Eukaryota; Viridiplantae; Streptophyta; Magnoliopsida; Caryophyllales; Amaranthaceae.
UGGGCUCGAACGGCUUAAGACCGCCGUAGAAAUACGGUCUUUCCGCAAGGAACUUGAGUCGAGGUGCUGCAUGGCUGUCGUCAGCUCGUGUCGUGAGAUGUUGGGUUAAGUCCCGCAACGAGCGCAACCCUCGUCCUGUGUUGCCAUCAUUAAGUUGGGAACUCGCAGGAGACCGCCAGCGAUAAGUUGGAGGAAGGUGGGGAUGACGUCAAGUCAUCAUGGCCUUUAUGUCCAGGGCUACACACGUGCUACAAUGGUCGGUACAAACCGUUGCGAAAUCGCGAGAUGGAGCUAAUCGGAGAAAACCGAUCUCAGUUCGGAUUGCAGGCUGCAACUCGCCUGCAUGAAGCUGGAAUCGCUAGUAAUGCCGUAUCAGAAUGACGGCGUGAAUACGUUCCCGGGCCUUGUACACACCGCCCGUCACAUCACGAAAGUGGAUUGUACUAGAAGUCUGCGUGCUAACCGCAAGGAGGCAGCGGCCCAAGGUAUGACUCAUGAUUGGGGUGAAGUCGUAACAAGGUAGCCGUAGGAGAACCUGCGGCUGGAUCACCUCCUUU